This 957-nucleotide long non-coding RNA is filed under the name Phoenix dactylifera (date palm). RNAcentral's name for it is "long non-coding RNA (PDAC_LNC009356)". Lineage: Eukaryota; Viridiplantae; Streptophyta; Magnoliopsida; Arecales; Arecaceae. The record is from RNAcentral.
GAAAGAGUAGAUGCCCUAUAAGCCAAUCAUUUGAUGGGUUUUUCUUUGUAAUCCUCCAAAUCAUGUACUUUGACACUCGAUAUAUAUCAAUAAAGGCAUUGUGUUUCAUCAUUUGCUGCUUAUCUAUUUUAUUAUUGGAUGAUGAACCCCAUAAAUUAGGACAUUGGUUUUAAGUGUUAUGAUGAGAUCAUACCAGUGAGACCUAAAAUCCUAAAAUCCUAAUUUAGAAUAUUUCCAGUCAAAUUGGUAUAUUGAGUCGGGGAUCAAUAUUACCGGAAAGACUGGCACAUCUUAUGUAUGCUCAAUGAAGAGGGUGAUUGAUCUCACAAUCACUUGUGUGAGACACUAAUACAAAGAUGUGGGUGCUCAUUAGAGGAAUGAGUUCACUGAAAUGACCAACCAUGAGAACAUCUUAUGGAUUCUUACUUAAUUAUCAAAAGAUGGUUCUCAUAGUGGGAGUUGUGCAAGUGAUCCUUAGACCUGAGAUCACCAUGGUACUUUGUGCACUUGAAGCUAUGUUUUGGUUUACCCUCAUUCACGACAUUGCGUUGUGUACGGAAUAUUCUGGAUAUGGUGGAUUUUGUACGAAGGUUGUGAGUCAACAAGGAAUCAAUCACUUCUAGUAAGAGAAGGUAACAUUCUACUUACGCUAAUCUUAUGAUGAUUCACGAAGCCUUUGAUCAAAGCAAAAUGAAUAUUAGAAAGAGUUUCUAAUGUUUCAUUGUUUGAAUUAUCAUAUAAAAGAUUGAGAGAGACAUGAAUAAGUGAUUGAGUUUGAUAUUGAUCCAUACUCGAGCACUUAUUCAGGAUGUAGUAUGACUGAGGGAUUGAAUUGCACAGUAACUUUCCACUGAAGGGUAUGUUUGGAUUUGUCCAAUACAUUCCUCAUCUUCCGGAUAGACAUGAUACAUUGCUAGACGUCAAUCAUGUCUUGUGGGUUGAUCGGAUCAAAGAGUU